This is a non-coding RNA of Hippopotamus amphibius kiboko, 72 nucleotides long. Lineage: Eukaryota; Metazoa; Chordata; Mammalia; Artiodactyla; Hippopotamidae. The record is from the annotation of a RefSeq genome assembly.
UCCCUGGUGGUCCAGUGGUUAAGACUCUGCGCUCACAACACGGGGGCCCAGGUUCCAUCCCUGGUCAGGGAA